This 410-nucleotide ribosomal RNA is filed under the name gut metagenome. Its description in RNAcentral is "bacterial LSU rRNA". It matches the Rfam family "Bacterial large subunit ribosomal RNA", at positions 1885 to 2291 of the family's 2925-position model. The record is from RNAcentral.
AGAGGUUAGAUAGCAAUAUCGAAGCCUUGAACUCAAGCCCCAGUAAACGGCGGCCGUAACUAUAACGGUCCUAAGGUAGCGAAAUUCCUUGUCGGGUAAGUUCCGACCCGCACGAAUGGUGUAACGAUUUGGGCACUGUCUCUACGCGAGAUCCGGUGAAAUUGAAGUUCGGGUGAAGAUGCCCGAUACUUGUGGUUAGACGGAAAGACCCCGUGAACCUUUACUUUAACUUGACAUUGGGACUCGGACCAAGAUGUGUAGGAUAGGUGGGAGACUGGGAACUGUGACCGUCAGGUUGCAGGGAGUCGACGGUGAAAUACCACCCUUGUUGGUCCGCGUUCCUAACCCAGGCCAUGAACUGGUUUGGGGACCGUGUCAGGCGGGAAGUUUGACUGGGGCGGUCGCCUCCU